This 495-nucleotide ribosomal RNA is filed under the name uncultured bacterium. RNAcentral describes it as "bacterial SSU rRNA". It matches the Rfam family "Bacterial small subunit ribosomal RNA", at positions 903 to 1397 of the family's 1533-position model. The record is from RNAcentral.
AAAUGAAUUGACGGGGGCCCGCACAAGCGGUGGAGCAUGUGGUUUAAUUCGACGCAACGCGCAGAACCUUACCAGCCCUUGACAUGUCCGGGACCGGCACCAGAGAUGGAGCCUUCUCUUCGGAGUCCGGAACACAGGUGCUGCAUGGCUGUCGUCAGCUCGUGUCGUGAGAUGUUGGGUUAAGUCCCGCAACGAGCGCAACCCCCGUCCUUAGUUGCUACCAUUUAGUUGAGCACUCUAAGGAGACUGCCGGUGAUAAGCCGCGAGGAAGGUGGGGAUGACGUCAAGUCCUCAUGGCCCUUACGGGCUGGGCUACACACGUGCUACAAUGGCGGUGACAAUGGGACGCUAAGGGGCAACCCUUCGCAAAUCUCAAAAAGCCGUCUCAGUUCGGAUUGGGCUCUGCAACUCGAGCCCAUGAAGUUGGAAUCGCUAGUAAUCGUGGAUCAGCAUGCCACGGUGAAUACGUUCCCGGGCCUUGUACACACCGCCCGU